This is a long non-coding RNA of Zea mays, 3688 nucleotides long. RefSeq lists it as uncharacterized. NCBI's taxonomy places the organism in Eukaryota, Viridiplantae, Streptophyta, Magnoliopsida, Poales, Poaceae. The record is from RefSeq and is a predicted model, not a curated record. The transcript has 12 exons.
GGGAGAUGGAAGGUGGCGUUCGGUACUGCUGCCGCACUACUCUUCUGCUGAAUAACAAGGUAAAAAUUCUCUGGUUCUGCGAGGAUCAUUGCUUGUCCUGCUGUUGCUUAGUUUCGUGCACCUGUAUACAUAAAGAUAGCAGUUAAUUUUUUUGGCAAAUCACUGAACUAUUGAAAACAAAUUGCAUAGACAAUAUUUCUUAAAUUUAAUUUUGGUCCACAGGCUUUUCCUUUCUCUUUCUCUAAAUUCAUGCUGCAAGAAAUAGUCUUCAAACAAAAGAGAAGAGAGAAUCUCGUACUUUGGCCUGAAGCUAUAAGCAAAACAAAGUGAAUUAUUUUUGUCUUGCUCUGUUAGGCUCAGUUUUGCCAUGACAAGGCUUAGGGGCAGACUAUCCCCAACGUGGGCAUGUAUUUGCCCAAACCAGUACUCUCAUGGUCAGUUGUAUGUUGCGCUAUCUAGGGCCACUGUUAGACCGAACAUCAAUAUCCUUGCAGUUCCACCCUGUAAAUCUUACAUUUAUAUUGCAUUACUAACUGCAUUUCAGCUAAUAGGAGUAUGAGAUAAAAGAUAUUUAGCAUUUGAUGACUUGUGGACAUGCUAUUAAUGGGAUUUACUGGUUAUAUAUAUAUUAAUGAGUAUCCGUUUGAAUUGUAAGACCUUGUGAUAUUUCUUGAAGAUUUAUAUAAGUUUGUAAUUUAUUGUGAUAAUCUUAGCAUUUAAAUGAUGCAAUUGACAUGACAUUAUUAAAAUCAUAUAUAGAAGUAUGUAUGAUACUGAUGGUUGCAAUGUAGUGGUGAAACAACUGGAUUAAAAUAACAAAAUUUAUGUAUGGAUAGGAUCACAAAUGGAUUACGAAAUCUUUUCUCAUAACAGUAUAACACACAUUUGUACAUAAGUUAUUAUGGUAUUAUAUGUUUUCGUUGCAACGUACGGACACUCACCUAGUAGAUACAUUGGUUUCAUAUAUCUCUACUACUCUAUAAGACAAUAGUGUAGACGUACACACACAUUUUGGUGCACGGUUCUGCCUGCAGUGCCCGCUCUCUCUCGCGCCCCCGCUCUCUGCGCCCCCGACCCUGCCCGCAUCGCCAUCCCCGCGCGCAAUCCCCGCUCGGCUGCUCCAAGGAAGGAAGGGCGUCGUGUGGAGAUCGCCAUCCCCGCUGGGGCGUUCCUCCCCACCGCCGCCGCAAUGGAAGGGCGUCUGUACCAUUCGCUUCCCCGGCAGCCCUUCCUUCCUCGACAGCCUGCCCCCGCCAGCUCCGCGCACCCCGCCAGCCGUCACAGUGAUGCCGCCCUUCCUUCCCUGGUAGCCCGCCACCUCCGCGCCCCCACCAAACCGGAAGGCGAGAUCCGCUGCCAGCUCCGCGCUCCGCGCGCCCCGCCAGCCGUCACAAUGAUGUCGCGCAAGUCGGGGAAGGAAGGCCGCGCGAGUCGCCUCCGGGAAACCUGCCAGGCAUCACUGUGCCCGCCGCCGAGAUACCCGCGUCCGCCGCCGCGUAAUCCCCGCCUUCCCCCUGCUCAGCCCCUCCGUGCCCCCGCCCACGCGCCCCAUUCCCUCCCCCGUAGCCGCAGCCCCCGCUGCCCAGCCCCACUGGAAAUCCCAUCCUGCCGCUCCCCACCCCACCGAUGGAGACAAAGCGCGAUGCCUCCCUCCAAAGCCGUCCACCUCCCCCUCCCGCAUCGCAUAGCACACACACACACCCUGCGCCAAUGCCAUUUCCGUGCUUGGAUAGAUCGCAGAUCUACGAGGUAGCAUCAGAUGGCUCUGUAGGGAUUGGAGGCAAGGAUGGAGGCGUCGGCGGGGGUGGUGAGGAUGAAGGCGACUAUGAUGAGGCGGAACCCGGGCGACAUGAUGGAGGCGAGCCGGUGCCGGUGACGAGGAUCCCACGGCCAUGGACGUCGUCAGGACAUAGCUGAUGCCGGAGGAGGAGGCGCUCCGGCUCUGCAUCGGCUGCGUCCACUUCUAGACUUCCUUGCCUCGCUUGUCACCUACAGGAAGCGAUGCCCACCUUGGAAGAAUUUUGGGAUGAGGAGCCUAGCGGAUACCACCCAACAACCACGUAAAACUGUUCGGCCUGACUUUUUUCAUUGUUUUGAUGAGUUUACAUUACAAGUUGCUUUUCUUAAAUCAAGAAAAGGUUUUGUCAAGAUAGCUAUACAGUCUGGAUGUCCUUUAGUCCCAGUUUUCUGCUUUGGGCAGAGCUAUGCAUACAAGUGGUGGAGGCCUGGUGGUAAAUUGUUUAUCAAGAUCGCUAGAGCAGUUAAAUUUACUCCUAUUAUCUUCUGGGAUAGAUUUGGCAGGAUCAAGGUCGUUGUCGUCUCCAGGUCCAUCAAAUGCGACAAGGUCGAGCGCACGCAAUUCAGCUCCGAAGUCAUCUCCUUUCAACAGAAAGAUGCAAGUAACACCAAGUCACUUGCCUUUGAUGGUUGAUACAUUUCACUGUAUAUCAUUGCACGACAGAUCCAUUUAGUACCUUUUUCUGAGUUAAACUACUUCAAACAUUGCUGAAGACUACAACCAGCCUACAGUUGUUGUAAUUGAAGCGGGUCAAGACAUAGCAUUUGCAAAGAUUUAGUUCAUUCUCAUCACUCUGCAAUAUUCGGGUUCUCUACUAUGUGUAAUCUCAUAUCAAGAUUAAUGAGUAUCGUGAUCGUAUAAUUUUGAAUCCUAUCAACCCAUAUGGCAAGGCAAAGAAAAUGACAGUGGACAUCAUUCUAGAUUUUACAAAAUCAAAGGAGCAACCAGACAUGGCUGUCAUGAUCUAAGAUACUUCAACGUGAUUGGAUCGAACCCAAACAUAUGACUAGGAGAAGCUCCAAGGCCACUUUGUCAAGGGUCUCUGCAAUGCACCUACUGGUGCAUGAUUUACUGGAGGUUGUGCGCAUGAAUGUGCCACACAUUGGUAUGGGGGUUGGAGUUGAAGCAGGUGAUUUUCACCAACAUUGGUUUGCGAACUGGAGUUGAAGCAGGAGACAUGAUUGUUAUUCCUAUCAUGUGCACACUGCCUCCUCGCUGUCAUUUGUCGUCACUCUCGUAGUCCUGAUACCGGAGCAUGGUUGCCAGGGGAGAGCAGUCCAAGGCAAAUUUGCCAUGUUGGAGCAGUCACAGGAGCCAAGGGGCUGCAGUCACAGGUCCUGCUAGCCAGGAUGGAGCAAUCAUAGGACCUCCUAGCAGUCCAAGGAAAAUUUGCGAGGUGGAGUAGUUGCAACUUUUGAAACCCACGUGAUAACAUGCUCAAGCGUUCGUAUGAUAAAAAAGAUGGCACAUAAUCAAAAGAAGAUCUCAUGUUCUGCGUUUGUGAACCUGUUUGUAUUUUUUGAACUUGUUUUGUGAACCUCUAUUUGUAAACCUGUAAAAUCUGAGGUUGUGAAUAGAUUUGGGUAACUUCAUACAAGUGGUGGAGGCCUGGUGGUAAUCCUGGAUGCAUAUAAAGCGAGGCAUGCAAUAUCCAUAGCACUCGUUUGACAGAAGGCAACACCAUCAACCUUGUCCUCCACCUUUAAACUAGCAUGAGCACCAUCCUUCUUCACAUUUAUAUUCAUGUCCCCUAUACGUUCCUCAAAUACGUUUGAACCAUGUGUACCACUAUGUGAACCAACUGAGUUCGUAGACUGAUCAAUGAGUCACCUUAUUGUGGACGCAGCUCUAAAAAAUGUUGUAUCUACAAAUAGAUUGUGUAAACGAAAA